This is a non-coding RNA of Pelobates cultripes (western spadefoot toad), 712 nucleotides long. Lineage: Eukaryota; Metazoa; Chordata; Amphibia; Anura; Pelobatidae. The record is from the annotation of a GenBank genome assembly.
CUAGAAAGAUUAACUAUGUUACUAUUUCAUCUAUCAUUAUUAUACAAAGUAUAACAAAUGUAAAGAUUUUUCCACAGAUUUGACCUGUUAACAUUUUUAGCACAACAGCACCUGAUGUCAGUGAGAUGUCUAUCACUGAGAUGUUACAAAGAUUCCAAUACAGCAAAAAGAGGCGUUCCUGAGAAUCCACUUCGAUUGCUGUAUCAACAUAACAUUUACUAUAAUGGGAUCCAUGUCACUUAAGACAAUGUCUUGGAAAUGCUGUCAAUUAAUUGAUUCCGUAAAAGAAUAUCGUAGAGUAUCCAAUCUAUACACAUCAUAAACGGUGUAAAAAUGUUUCAUGGAAAAAACAAAGCAAACAAGCAAAGACAAAGACCAAUACCAACACCAUCACCACGGUGAUAACAGAUGAUGCUGAUUCAAUAUCUGCGACCAAUUCUAGCCAAAUAUUUGGAUAGCUGGACUCUACAACCAAUACUCUACAACAAAUACCCAGGUAUUCUACAAACACAACCUCCAGCAAUGUAUCUAAGGAAUGUAAACCUCUACAGGUCUUUAAAGACUUUGGAUUACAAAUACAAUUACUAUUUUUAACUUUGGAUUACAAUUCGUAUCCGGAUCUAUCCAAGAAUAUAUUACUCUGGAACUUGGUGUUCUUUUCAAUUCUUUCCCAGACAAAAGCUUUGCUCAUUUUAAUCAACCACCUUUACAG